Molecule: ribosomal RNA, 206 nt
Filed under: uncultured bacterium
Lineage: Bacteria
Description: partial 16S ribosomal RNA
Rfam family: Bacterial small subunit ribosomal RNA
Source: RNAcentral
UAGACUGGGACAACUAUUGGAAACGAUAGCUAAUACCGGAUAACAGCAUUAACUGCAUGGUUGAUGUUUGAAAGUUGGUUAUGCUAACACUAUGAGAUGGCUUUGCGGUGCAUUAGCUAGUUGGUGGGGUAAAGGCCCACCAAGGCGACGAUGCAUAGCCGACCUGAGAGGGUGAUCGGCCACACUGGGACUGAGACACGGCCCAG